RNAcentral lists this ribosomal RNA (611 nucleotides) under Salmonella enterica. Its description in RNAcentral is "partial 23S ribosomal RNA". It matches the Rfam family "Bacterial large subunit ribosomal RNA", at positions 2211 to 2821 of the family's 2925-position model. RNAcentral also lists the same sequence under 2 other names. The record is from RNAcentral. Lineage: Bacteria; Pseudomonadati; Pseudomonadota; Gammaproteobacteria; Enterobacterales; Enterobacteriaceae.
UGUUUGAUGUUCUAACGUGGACCCGUGAUCCGGGUUGCGGACAGUGUCUGGUGGGUAGUUUGACUGGGGCGGUCUCCUCCUAAAGAGUAACGGAGGAGCACGAAGGUUGGCUAAUCCUGGUCGGACAUCAGGAGGUUAGUGCAAUGGCAUAAGCCAGCUUGACUGCGAGCGUGACGGCGCGAGCAGGUGCGAAAGCAGGUCAUAGUGAUCCGGUGGUUCUGAAUGGAAGGGCCAUCGCUCAACGGAUAAAAGGUACUCCGGGGAUAACAGGCUGAUACCGCCCAAGAGUUCAUAUCGACGGCGGUGUUUGGCACCUCGAUGUCGGCUCAUCACAUCCUGGGGCUGAAGUAGGUCCCAAGGGUAUGGCUGUUCGCCAUUUAAAGUGGUACGCGAGCUGGGUUUAGAACGUCGUGAGACAGUUCGGUCCCUAUCUGCCGUGGGCGCUGGAGAACUGAGGGGGGCUGCUCCUAGUACGAGAGGACCGGAGUGGACGCAUCACUGGUGUUCGGGUUGUCAUGCCAAUGGCACUGCCCGGUAGCUAAAUGCGGAAGAGAUAAGUGCUGAAAGCAUCUAAGCACGAAACUUGCCCCGAGAUGAGUUCUCCCUGAGAC